This 232-nucleotide ribosomal RNA is filed under the name uncultured bacterium. Its description in RNAcentral is "partial 16S ribosomal RNA". It matches the Rfam family "Bacterial small subunit ribosomal RNA", at positions 99 to 334 of the family's 1533-position model. The record is from RNAcentral.
CGGACGGGUGAGUAAUGUCUGGGAAACUGCCCGAUGGAGGGGGAUAACUACUGGAAACGGUAGCUAAUACCGCAUAACGUCGCAAGACCAAAGAGGGGGACCUUCGGGCCUCUUGCCAUCGGAUGUGCCCAGAUGGGAUUAGCUAGUAGGUGGGGUAAAGGCUCACCUAGGCGACGAUCCCUAGCUGGUCUGAGAGGAUGACCAGCCACACUGGAACUGAGACACGGUCCAG